GACGAACGCUGGCGGCGUGCCUAAUACAUGCAAGUAGAACGCUGAAGGAGGAGCUUGCUUCUCUGGAUGAGUUGCGAACGGGUGAGUAACGCGUAGGUAACCUGCCUGGUAGCGGGGGAUAACUAUUGGAAACGAUAGCUAAUACCGCAUAAUAGUAGAUGUUGCAUGACAUUUGCUUAAAAGGUGCAAUUGCAUCACUACCAGAUGGACCUGCGUUGUAUUAGCUAGUUGGUGGGGUAACGGCUCACCAAGGCGACGAUACAUAGCCGACCUGAGAGGGUGAUCGGCCACACUGGGACUGAGACACGGCCCAGACUCCUACGGGAGGCAGCAGUAGGGAAUCUUCGGCAAUGGACGGAAGUCUGACCGAGCAACGCCGCGUGAGUGAAGAAGGUUUUCGGAUCGUAAAGCUCUGUUGUAAAAGAAGAACGAGUGUGAGAGUGGAAAGUUCACACUGUGACGGUAUCUUACCAGAAAGGGACGGCUAACUACGUGCCAGCAGCCGCGGUAAUACGUAGGUCCCGAGCGUUGUCCGGAUUUAUUGGGCGUAAAGCGAGCGCAGGCGGUUAGAUAAGUCUGAAGUUAAAGGCUGUGGCUUAACCAUAGUACGCUUUGGAAACUGUUUAACUUGAGUGCAAGAGGGGAGAGUGGAAUUCCAUGUGUAGCGGUGAAAUGCGUAGAUAUAUGGAGGAACACCGGUGGCGAAAGCGGCUCUCUGGCUUGUAACUGACGCUGAGGCUCGAAAGCGUGGGGAGCAAACAGG
This 763-nucleotide ribosomal RNA is filed under the name uncultured Streptococcus sp. RNAcentral's name for it is "bacterial SSU rRNA". It matches the Rfam family "Bacterial small subunit ribosomal RNA", at positions 28 to 776 of the family's 1533-position model. Lineage: Bacteria; Bacillati; Bacillota; Bacilli; Lactobacillales; Streptococcaceae. The record is from RNAcentral.